GGAGGGAUCAUUAAAGAAAUUGCUUUUUUUUCUUUUUACAAACAAACAAUCACAACUAUAAGAAAAAAGGGGGGAAAAAUUGAUAAAAGUGAUUGCCUGAUACUAUUUCUGAUUUGAAAGAAGAAUAUACAAUACAACUUUCAACAACGGAUCUCUUGGCUCUCACAUCGAUGAAGAACAUAGCAAAGUGUGAAAAUUAAUGUGAAUUGCAGAAUUCAGUGAAUCAUUGAGUUUUUGAACGCAUCUUGCACUUUUUGGUAUUCCAAAGAGUAUGCCUGGUUGAGUAAUGUGAAUAAUAAUCAUCAAAUCCUCUUGAUCAAAAAGAGAGAGAUUUGGAAUUGAGUGAUUUUUACCUUGUCAAAGGGUUCACUUGAAAUAAAGAGGGAAAUGAUAGAAAUAUGGGACAAGAGAAUUUGAUUAUAUGGUGAUCAUCAAAAAAGACAAGCGGAAAAAAAGUUCUGGAAAGAAGAAGAGCGAGGAGGAAAAAAGCUUGAUCAUAAUAAUGACUUGAGGAAUGAUAUUCAAAGUCUUGUUUAGAGCUUUUCUUCCAUCUCUGUUUUGUCUGAUUGCUUGAUUCAUUUUCCACUGGCCCUUUUUUUUUCUUUUUCCAAAACUAGGAAAAAAAAGAAAAGAAAUGUGUAUGUGUGGGUGGGGGGGUGGUAUAAGAAAGCACUUUUGUGUCUUUUUCGAUUGUACUGUAACCCCCCUCCAAGCACACAUACAUUUUUUUUUUCAUUUAUAUCAUUCUCAACUCAGGCAAGACUACCCGCUGAAUUUAAGCAUAUAAAUAAGCGGAGGAAAAGAAACUAACAAGGAUUCCCUUAGUAACUGCGAGUGAAGUGGGAAAAGCUCAAUUUUGAAAUCUACCAAGAGUAAUAUUCUUGGUCGAAUUGUAGUUUCGAGAAAGAGUGGCUGAGAAUGGCCGAGUUGGAUGCAAGUUCCUUGGAAUGGGACAUCAGAGAGGGUGACAAUCCCGUCCACCAUCCUUCCGUUGCUUUUCAUAAAGGCCCUCUUUUCAAAGAGUCGAGUUGUUUGGGAUUGCAGCUCAAAAUGGGUGGUAAAUUUCAUCUAAAGCUAAAUAUGGGUGAGAGACCGAUAGCGAACAAGUACCGUGAGGGAAAGAUGAAAAGUACUCUGAAGAGAGAGUCAAAAGUACGUGAAAUUGUUGAAAGGGAAACGCUUGAAACCAGUCAAGGUUUAUUGCAAGUCAGGAAAGAUAUAUAAUUGGACAAGUUGGAUGUUAGGGAUUGUUGUAUUCCUUUUUGUGAACGAGCAACUCUUACGCUGACUUUUUCUGAUUGUACUUUCUGUACGUUUCCGAUAAACAAGUCAACAUCAGUUUGGCUACUUGGGAAAAAGACAAUAGGAUUUGGUCAAACAUUGGAUGGACCUUGUGUUCUCUGAUUUUUGAGCCUACUUGUCAUGAUACCAAGUGCCGGACUGAGGGUAGCAGUAAAGAGCAUUGACUUGGAAUUAGGCAAUCUUGUGGUGUUGUUCCUGAUAAACAGCCUAGCUGAUUGUUGGGAAGAAAUCACAAGUCUUGUCAAAUCCAAGCAGGCUUCUGACUUUGGAUGUUGACGAAAUGGUUUUAAACGACCCGUCUUGAAACACGGACCAAGGAGUCUAACAUGGAUGCAAGUAUUUGGGUGAUUGGAAACCCAGAUGCGUAAUGAAAGUGAAAGAGGUAGGAAGUCUCAAUCCCCACCCCGGGAUUGUGAUGGCACUAUCGACCAAUCUUGUCUAGCUUCGGCUUGAUAGAUUUGAGUAAGAGCAUGUAUGUUGGGACCCGAAAGAUGGUGAACUAUGCCUGAAUAGGGUGAAGUCAGACGAAAGUCUGAUGGAAGCUCGUAGCGAUUCUGACGUGCAAAUCGAUCGUCAAAUUUGGGUAUAGGGGCGAAAGACUAAUCGAACCAUCUAGUAGCUGGUUCCUGC
RNAcentral lists this unclassified non-coding RNA (1932 nucleotides) under uncultured fungus. RNAcentral's name for it is "sequence contains 18S rRNA gene, ITS1, 5.8S rRNA gene, ITS2, 28S rRNA gene". The stretch from base 743 to 1932 matches the Rfam family "Eukaryotic large subunit ribosomal RNA", at positions 1 to 961 of the family's 3401-position model. The record is from RNAcentral. Lineage: Eukaryota; Fungi.